CGGGUGCUAUACAUGCAAGUCGAACGAACUCUGGUAUUGAUUGGUGCUUGCAUCAUGAUUUACAUUUGAGUGAGUGGCGAACUGGUGAGUAACACGUGGGAAACCUGCCCAGAAGCGGGGGAUAACACCUGGAAACAGAUGCUAAUACCGCAUAACAACUUGGACCGCAUGGUCCGAGUUUGAAAGAUGGCUUCGGCUAUCACUUUUGGAUGGUCCCGCGGCGUAUUAGCUAGAUGGUGGGGUAACGGCUCACCAUGGCAAUGAUACGUAGCCGACCUGAGAGGGUAAUCGGCCACAUUGGGACUGAGACACGGCCCAAACUCCUACGGGAGGCAGCAGUAGGGAAUCUUCCACAAUGGACGAAAGUCUGAUGGAGCAACGCCGCGUGAGUGAAGAAGGGUUUCGGCUCGUAAAACUCUGUUGUUAAAGAAGAACAUAUCUGAGAGUAACUGUUCAGGUAUUGACGGUAUUUAACCAGAAAGCCACGGCUAACUACGUGCCAGCAGCCGCGGUAAUACGUAGGUGGCAAGCGUUGUCCGGAUUUAUUGGGCGUAAAGCGAGCGCAGGCGGUUUUUUAAGUCUGAUGUGAAAGCCUUCGGCUCAACCGAAGAAGUGCAUCGGAAACUGGGAAACUUGAGUGCAGAAGAGGACAGUGGAACUCCAUGUGUAGAAG
RNAcentral lists this ribosomal RNA (673 nucleotides) under Lactiplantibacillus plantarum. RNAcentral describes it as "bacterial SSU rRNA". It matches the Rfam family "Bacterial small subunit ribosomal RNA", at positions 43 to 681 of the family's 1533-position model. The record is from RNAcentral. Lineage: Bacteria; Bacillati; Bacillota; Bacilli; Lactobacillales; Lactobacillaceae.